Molecule: long non-coding RNA, 274 nt
Filed under: Vigna radiata
Lineage: Eukaryota; Viridiplantae; Streptophyta; Magnoliopsida; Fabales; Fabaceae
Description: long non-coding RNA (VRAD_LNC003304)
Source: RNAcentral
GAAAAAAGUGAUGGAAAGUGAAUAAAAGUACAAGGAGAAAAAAAAUAAAAAAUAAAAAAAUAAAAAAAAAUUGAAGAUAAAAGAUUAUUCAUGUUUUAACGUGUGAUAAUUUCAACCCACAUUAAUGUAAAAUUAACAAAAGAAAAAAAAUCAAAUUAACUUUAUUUAACAAAUUUUAAACCUCGGUUAAAUAAUAUAAAUAUAAAAACUAACAUAAAUUUUAAAUAUAAAUAUAAAAAUCAAAUUACUAAUUGCACUUAAUUAUUAUCUCUAC